UACGGAGGGUGCAAACGUUGCUCGGAAUUAUUGGGCGUAAAGCGCACGUAGGCGGUCUAUUAAGUCGGGUGUGAAAGCCCUGGGCUCAACCCAGGAAGUGCACUCGAAACUGAUAGGCUUGAGUACGGAAGAGGGUCUCGGAAUUCCCGGUGUAGAGGUGAAAUUCGUAGAUAUCGGGAGGAACACCAGUGGCGAAGGCGGAGACCUGGGCCGAUACUGACGCUCAGGUGCGAAAGCGUGGGGAGCUAAUAGG
RNAcentral lists this ribosomal RNA (253 nucleotides) under uncultured bacterium. Its description in RNAcentral is "partial 16S ribosomal RNA". It matches the Rfam family "Bacterial small subunit ribosomal RNA", at positions 524 to 776 of the family's 1533-position model. The record is from RNAcentral.